Molecule: ribosomal RNA, 460 nt
Filed under: uncultured bacterium
Lineage: Bacteria
Description: partial 16S ribosomal RNA
Rfam family: Bacterial small subunit ribosomal RNA
Source: RNAcentral
CCUACGGGAGGCAGCAGUGAGGAAUAUUGGUCAAUGGGCGCUAGCCUGAACCAGCCAAGUAGCGUGAAGGAUGACUGCCCUAUGGGUUGUAAACUUCUUUUAUAUGGGAAUAAAGUGCAGUAUGUAUACUGCUUUGCAUGUACCUUAUGAAAAAGGAUCGGCUAACGCCGUGCCAGCAGCCGCGGUAAUACGGAGGAUCCGAGCGUUUUCCGGAUUUAUUGGGUUUAAAGGGGGCGUAGGCGGGUUGUUAAGUUUGUGGUGAAAUGUUGCGGCUCAACCGUAAAACUGCAGUUGAUACUGGUAGUCUUGAGUACAGUAGAGGUAGGCGGAAUGCGUGGUGUAGCGGUGAAAUGCUUAGAUAUCACGAAGAACACCGAUUGCGAAGGCAGCCUGCUGGACUGUAACUGACGUUGAGGCUCGAAAGUGUGGGUAUCAAACAGGAUUAGAUACCCGGGUAGUC